Molecule: ribosomal RNA, 289 nt
Filed under: uncultured Glomeromycotina
Lineage: Eukaryota; Fungi; Glomeromycota
Description: partial large subunit ribosomal RNA
Source: RNAcentral
UUUGCUCACACUCUAACCUGUUCAAAGGCGAAUCCUAACAACGUCAGCAAGCUGUCGUCACCAGGAUACCAAAGAGAAGCCAGGUGGAACAGCCCUAAAGGUAUUCGUUGCAAUCCUCAAUCCCGACCACCACAUUCCGCUAAAGGUUAUAACACUCCCGAAGGAGCCACAUCCCUCCAGCCUUUUUAUGACGUUCGAAAUUGAUGUUAACCAGCGGACACGAAAGUGCUCCAUUUCACCAAGAGUUCACGCUUCGUGACGGUUUUGAGGCUCGCCACGCCAUGUGAUC